UACAGGGGGGGCAAGCGUUGUUCGGAAUUACUGGGCGUAAAGGGCUCGUAGGCGGCCAACUAAGUCCGACGUGAAAUCACAAAGCUUAACUUUGGAACUGCGUCGGAUACUGGAUGGCUUGAAUUCGGGAGAGGGAUGCAGAAUUCCAGGUGUAGCGGUGAAAUGCGUAGAUAUCUGGAGGAAUACCGGUGGCGAAGGCGGCAUCCUGGACCGACAUUGACGCUGAGGAGCGAAAGCUAGGGGAGCAAACGGG
This 253-nucleotide ribosomal RNA is filed under the name uncultured bacterium. RNAcentral's name for it is "partial 16S ribosomal RNA". It matches the Rfam family "Bacterial small subunit ribosomal RNA", at positions 524 to 776 of the family's 1533-position model. The record is from RNAcentral.